RNAcentral lists this ribosomal RNA (485 nucleotides) under uncultured bacterium. RNAcentral's name for it is "partial 16S ribosomal RNA". It matches the Rfam family "Bacterial small subunit ribosomal RNA", at positions 30 to 507 of the family's 1533-position model. The record is from RNAcentral.
AUUGAACGCUGGCGGCAGGCUUAACACAUGCAAGUCGAGCGGGGAAAAGUAGCUUGCUACUUUACCUAGCGGCGGACGGGUGAGUAAUGCGUAGGAAUCUGCCUAUCAGUGGGGUACAACAUCUCGAAAGGGAUGCUAAUACCGCAUAAGCCCUACGGGAGAAAGCAGGGGACCUGCGGGCCUUGCGCUCAUAGAUGAGCCUAAGACGGAUUGGCGAGUUGGUGGGGUAAAGGCCUACCAAGGCGACGAUCUGUAGCGGGGCUGGGAGGAUGAUCCGCCACACUGGGACUGGGACCCGGCCCAGACUCCUACGGGGGGCAGCAGUGGGGGAUAUUGGGCAAUGGGGGGAACCCUGAUCCCGCCAUGCCGCGUGUGUGGAGGAGGCCUUUUGGUUGUAAAGCACUUUAAGCGAGGAGGAGGCUACCGAGAUUAAUACUCUUGGAUAGUGGACGUUACUCGCAGAAUAAGCACCGGCUAACUCUGUG